CUUUGUUAAAACUGAUAUUCUGCCCAUCCAGCUAUCUUGUGAUUAGCAUCACAGCUGCUGUGCCAUUCAUUUAGUGAAUCUAACUAUAAUAAUCUGAGGUGACUCCUGUUUAGCUUCCUCAGUUGAAGUCUCUGGUGCCUUUGAGAUGCAUAUUACUAUUUGCUGAAUUGGUUACAGUGGGAAGAAAACUCCCACUGAAGAUUCAAAGUGCAACACCUGGGAAAAGAAGAAACACUUAUCCAUUUGUUUGGAAUAAACCUCAAACCUGGUAGAGGUCAGCACUUUAGCCUGAAGAUCUGAAAACCUGACCUUUAAUUACUGUAGUGAUGUAGUUCAAAUAAUGAGAACUUGAGAGUGUAACUGAGAAGCAGCUAGAAAAGUAGUGAGCAGGAUGCCUGUUGCCUGUCGAAGGACUGCCAGAUGUGUGAAUAGGACACCAUAGAAGACACAGGUAUUGUAUGCAGGAGAAGGUGCAGGCCAGAACACUGAAGAACUGUAGUAUGAACUGAACACAGUGCUGCUGACUGGAGCUUGUGUUACCUUCUGCAUGGAUGAAGUAAUUAAUCACUCUAAAAAUAGACAGUGGGGGGUUAUAACUAAUAAAAGAAUGUGUGGUAUACUAUAUGAGGAAGAAAGUGUAACUUGGGCUCUUUGAAUUUCAGGUACUGGACUCUAGGAGUCCCUUCCGCUCAUUUGUAGAGAACAUAGUGCUGCUUAUCUGCUGUGAUCGAUCCAGUUUCGAAUUGACUCGAGCUUCAUACUGGCCCAGGAUGAAGGAAGUACUUCCUGAAGAAUAUAGGAAUGGAAAUGACUUUGAGGGUCUAAGAUUGUCCAAGAAGAUAAGCCAGCUGGACUGUACACAAUGCAACACUGCUCUAAAGUCAACAGCAAGUCUCUUCUGGACUCGUCUGAAAGCAAAAUUUCACCCAGAGAGAAGAGAACAGAUUUUGGGAUGCUCCUUUUCAUUUCUUCAUUCUGAAAUAGCUGGGCUGGAAAUAGAAAGGACAGACAAAACCUAUUAACUGUACUGAGGAAGAUUCAUGGUGUCUAGAUACUUUCUAUCCAUUAUUAUGCUGGCAGUUUCAAAGAGGUGUCAAUUUUCUGUGCCAAAAUACGGGACUAGAACUACAAAUCCUGUUUUGGAUUCAUGAGAAGAGAAACUAUUUAUUUGUGAUUCAUGAUGAAAAUAUACCUUAUAUACGAGUAUAAAAGUAGCCAGUUUUGUGUUGCAUAUAAAAUAUGCCUUAUAAACAUCUCUUACAUUAAAUGGCUUAUUGUUCUCAUGCUUUACAUGCAGG
Molecule: long non-coding RNA, 1298 nt
Filed under: Struthio camelus australis
Lineage: Eukaryota; Metazoa; Chordata; Aves; Struthioniformes; Struthionidae
Description: lncRNA (ENSSCUG00000004886.1)
Source: RNAcentral